GUGAAUCAUCGAAUUUUUGAACGCAAAUUGCACUCUCCGGUUUUCCGGGAGAGUAUGCCUGUUUGAGGGUCAGCCUAAAAAAAUCGACAUUGUUGCUGUUUUAUGGUGACUUUCGUCGGAGAUGGGUUAUCUUAAAUCUCGGUUUAAGCGACUUAAAAAUUUUUUUUAGGUUUUUAGGAAGUUUCUAAGAUUUUUCUUUUUACGUUAAAGUA
Molecule: unclassified non-coding RNA, 212 nt
Filed under: Funneliformis geosporum
Lineage: Eukaryota; Fungi; Glomeromycota; Glomeromycetes; Glomerales; Glomeraceae
Description: partial contains 5.8S ribosomal RNA and internal transcribed spacer 2
Rfam family: 5.8S ribosomal RNA (bases 1-72)
Source: RNAcentral